RNAcentral lists this ribosomal RNA (253 nucleotides) under uncultured bacterium. RNAcentral describes it as "partial 16S ribosomal RNA". It matches the Rfam family "Bacterial small subunit ribosomal RNA", at positions 524 to 776 of the family's 1533-position model. The record is from RNAcentral.
UACGUAGGGUGCAAGCGUGUCCGGAAUUAUUGGGCGUAAAGAGCUCGUAGGCGGUGUGUCGCGUCUGCUGUGAAAUCUGGAGGCUCAACCUCCAGCCUGCAGUGGGUACGGGCAGACUAGAGUGCGGUAGGGGAGAUUGGAAUUCCUGGUGUAGCGGUGAAAUGCGCAGAUAUCAGGAGGAACACCGGUGGCGAAGGCGGGGUCUCUGGGCCGAUACUGACGCUGAGGAGCGAAAGCGUGGGGAGCGAACAGG